CCGUGAAAAAAUUAGAGUGUUCAAAGCAGGCAGAUCCAAUUUUCUGCCACCGAAUACAUUAGCAUGGGAUAAUGGAAUAGGACCCUGUCCUCCUAUUUUCAGUUGGUUUUGGCAGCGCGAGGACUAGGGUAAUGAUUAAUAGGGAUAGUUGGGGGCAUUAAUAUUUAAUUGUCAGAGGUGAAAUUCUUGGAUUUAUGAAAGAUUAACUUCUGCGAAAGCAUCUGCCAAGGAUGUUUUCAUUAAUCAAGAACGAAAGUUAGGGGAUCGAAGACGAUCAGAUACCGUCGUAGUCUUAACCAUAAACGAUGCCGACCAGCGAUUAGGAGACGUUGAAUACAAAACACCACCAUCGGCGCGGUCGUCCUUGGCGUGUCUCGGCUUCACGGCUGGGGCGCGCGAGGGCGGUUUAGCCCGGUGGCACCGGUGAAUGACUCCC
RNAcentral lists this ribosomal RNA (436 nucleotides) under Acanthamoeba sp. Acp23. RNAcentral describes it as "SSU rRNA". The stretch from base 1 to 382 matches the Rfam family "Eukaryotic small subunit ribosomal RNA", at positions 755 to 1115 of the family's 1831-position model. Lineage: Eukaryota; Discosea; Longamoebia; Acanthamoebidae. The record is from RNAcentral.